GGGAUUUCGCCCAGUUAUUGGGGUUUGGUCUCACGACUGAAAAUCGUGGUGUCCCCGGUUCGAGUCCGGGUCUCGCCA
Molecule: transfer RNA, 78 nt
Filed under: Acidobacteriota bacterium
Lineage: Bacteria; Pseudomonadati; Acidobacteriota
Description: Acidobacteria bacterium (soil metagenome) tRNA-Phe
Source: RNAcentral